CAGGGACAGCUUUCCCCGCAACACCACUCCCUAUAUAAGGAGGAGCGGAAGCUAUGCCAGUCUUUUAGCUCCCAGGGUAGGGAGCAGCUGUGUUGAUCCCAGGGCAGGGAGCCUGCCUGGAUGGAGAGGAUCAGGGAUCCGGGACCAUCGCCAACUCCAGUGGGCUGUUUGUUCUGAUGUACCCUCAGACCUGAGAUCAAUGGAGCAUCUGUGAAGACCUCAGCCAAGCCAGUCACCAGGAUGUGGACACCUACCAGCUGAUGUCCCGAGGGAGCUGGAUUUCCCUGCGUCUGCUUAAGGGAGCUGAGCGAGGAUCCCCCGCUUGAGCGCAAAGGACGGAGGGGACGAGACCUGGCUGCUGGAAGGAGUUGGGGUCCCACCUGGGGUCUAGCCAGGCCGAGUCAGAGCCAGAACAUGGGUUCACGGCAGCUUAGUCGGGCUCUGGGCUGAACAGGAGGGCCUGGGCUUUCACUGUUCUCUGCCACCCUAGGGGUUUCCUGGGCGGUGCUGGGUGACUAAUAAACUGCCAACACCGUGUGUCGGGAGGGGCGUUAAUCCUGCAGAGGGGCCAGGUCUCACCCGGGGCCUGCACUCGCUGCAGGGAGCGCACGGGGGACAGCAGGCCCCGAGGUGCAGUCUGAGUGAGACCCAGAGGGGCUCUGGCCCACGAAAAGGCUCCUCCUAGAGACUGUUCCGAAGCUGGGUCCAUCGCCCCGCACCGGGCCCUAAACAGCCCCGUCCUGCCGGGCCCUGGUGUCCGUGCUCACGUCAAUGGGGAGUGAUAGCGCAGGCCGGGGCGAUGCCCCUCAAUCCUGACCCGCAGCCCCCUGCUAGCCGAGCCCUUUGAGAGGUGGCUUGGCUAGGCCCGGUUGAGCUGCUGCUCCUUGGCGGCCCCAGUGUGGGAGGAGCAGCCCCUCAAACUGCUCGCUGGGUCUUUCCUGUAGAGUCGCUCUGCGGCCGCUGCCUCCAGCCCACCCACCGGGGCUGUGCCCGGGAGGUGCCUGCAGGGACUGUCCAGCCAGUCAGCCUUUGCCCUGGCCACGGCCGGCAGCCCUUCACCUUCGGCUCCUGCCCUGGUGCGGCCCUUCAGGGCCCUCUGCUUGUUGGCCUGGCUCGGGGGGCCUCUGGCAGGGUCUCCUGGGCAACUGGCUCGGGUUUGGUGCCAGGGCGUGGUCACAGGGAGCUGCUACCCCAGCUGCUUGGGAUCACAGCCCAGUGCUGCCCCUGCCUCAGGACCCUGCUCCCAGGAGUGUCCCUUACCCUGAGCUGGCUGCAUGGGGCCUGCUCCCAGGUGAAUGGGAAGUCUGGCCUGGUCUCCAGCCAGAAGUGCCAGUGGGGCUCCCCUCUGAGCUGGCAGCAGGGGUGGGAGCCUGGGGCGAUCCGUGGGUCUGAGUGGAUGGUGCCCCCUUCCUGGGAGCUUCCCCAGCCUGGCCUAGAGAAAGGGGUGGGGAAUAUGGCGGCAGUCCCCAGGCCAGGAGUGGCCGCAUGGGCAUGCUGGGCUCUGCAGGGCAUUGCUCACCUUGGUUCCAGAUGGGGCAUUACCUCUUGUGGGGCACCCUGUGUGCUGGGGCCAGCUGAGGGUGGACGCCAGGAAUCCCGGCUUCCUGCCCCAAGCCCUGUGGCUGCAGCAGGGCCUUUCCUGGAGUGACAGGGCUGCCCCCAACCUGGCCUCAGAGCUCCUUGGGGCAGGGACUCUCCCCUCUGCCUGGCAGCACCCUGCACUGGCUCACUGCACGGGUGGAACAAGAUGCCCUCUGGGGGCCAGGCUGCCCAAGGGAGUUAGGGGCCUAAAGGCACAGACAGGCAGCAAGGGUGAUUUUUCCGAAUGUGCCUGGCAUUCUCUGUAUCGUGAGAUUCCCUUGGACAAUCCAGCUGGGACUUUCAGACUCUUUCUGUCUCCAGAAUAACACAGCACUCUGCUCUCUCCAUCCCACCCUCUGUGUGCCCCACCCCCCUGCUAGGCUUCGCAUCUCCCCACAAUCCCCACCUGACCAGGAGGAAGGGUGGAAGCUGCAGGGAGCUAGUCCGGGCAGGGCCAGCCUGGGGCGGGGCAGGGGGUUGGGCCCAUUGCCUUUGCCCCUGUGGGCUCGGCCCGGGAAGGGGCCUCUUGCCCUGGGGUUGUAGGACCUGUGAUGGAGGUUGUGGGGAGCUG
Chrysemys picta bellii (western painted turtle) is the source of this 2152-nucleotide non-coding RNA. NCBI's taxonomy places the organism in Eukaryota, Metazoa, Chordata, Testudines, Emydidae. The record is from RefSeq and is a predicted model, not a curated record.